GAACCUUACUAGGGUAAGACAUUAAGAUGAUUGACAGAUUGCUUGGUUUUUCUUGAUUUAAUGGGUGGUGGUGCAUGGCCGAUCUUAGUUGGUGGGGUGACUUGUCUGGUUAAUUUCGAUAACGAACGAGAUCCGAGCUGUUUAGUUGCGUGUACCUGUGCUUUAGCAGGUGACAUGUUUUUAAAUGGACCAUCAGAUUAAUCUGAAGGAAGUGACGGGCUAAAU
RNAcentral lists this ribosomal RNA (225 nucleotides) under uncultured marine eukaryote. Its description in RNAcentral is "partial 18S ribosomal RNA". It matches the Rfam family "Eukaryotic small subunit ribosomal RNA", at positions 1210 to 1456 of the family's 1831-position model. The record is from RNAcentral.